UACGAAGGGGGCUAGCGUUGCUCGGAAUCACUGGGCGUAAAGGGUGCGUAGGCGGGUCCUUAAGUCAGAGGUGAAAGCCUGGAGCUCAACUCCAGAACUGCCUUUGAUACUGAGGAUCUCGAGUUCGGGAGAGGUGAGUGGAACUGCGAGUGUAGAGGUGAAAUUCGUAGAUAUUCGCAAGAACACCAGUGGCGAAGGCGGCUCACUGGCCCGAUACUGACGCUGAGGCACGAAAGCGUGGGGAGCAAACAGGG
RNAcentral lists this ribosomal RNA (254 nucleotides) under uncultured bacterium. RNAcentral describes it as "partial 16S ribosomal RNA". It matches the Rfam family "Bacterial small subunit ribosomal RNA", at positions 524 to 777 of the family's 1533-position model. The record is from RNAcentral.